AUGAAGCAAAAGAAGAGGAGUAGUAGUACAGGUUCUUGGCGUUUAGAGAGGUGACGGUUGGUGCGAGUCACACGCGAAGAUGUACGAACUUGCCUCGGCACGCAUAGAUGUGGUGAAAACCGCCGUCCUUUUUCCGCGUUAAGGAAUUCUUGAGUUGAGUGGAGACACUAAUUUGGGUGGUACCGCGGGAGUUUUUACUCUCGUCCCAUGG
This 211-nucleotide non-coding RNA is filed under the name unidentified. RNAcentral's name for it is "Listeriaceae bacterium T-box sequence". It matches the Rfam family "T-box leader". Rfam says of the family: Uncharged tRNA acts as the effector for transcription antitermination of genes in the T-box leader family. T-boxes are found upstream of many aminoacyl-tRNA synthetase genes and some amino acid biosynthetic genes usually in Gram-positive bacteria. The record is from RNAcentral.